CAGUGGGGAAGGGCGCGGACGCGGAGAUGGUGGCCAUGCUGGAGGAGCAGGGCAGCACGGCGCGCGCGAGGAAGCUGUUGUCGGCGCUGGGCAUGGAGCCCGAGAGCAGCAUGGAUGCGGCGGCGGAGGUGGUGGAGGCCAUGGCCAUGGCGGCGGGCGGCAGCGGGUGGUUGUGCGUGCCCUCGUAGGUGGUGAUGAGGAUGGAGCGGUCGUCGGCGCAGCGCUGCACCUGCAUUGCAUUGCAUGCGGGCAGUCAGCGGUCGGUAGUCGUCGGUCAGCCAGCCGUGUUUAUAUUAUAUAUAUAUAUAUAGAUAGAUAGAUAGAUAAACAAGCUGGUGUAGCAGUAUUUGUUUGACCAGAAGCCAGUCAGCAAGCCAGGAUGGAUUGACCGGGGUCGGGUCGUCGCAGAAAUCAAAGUUACCUGC
RNAcentral lists this long non-coding RNA (425 nucleotides) under Setaria italica (foxtail millet). Its description in RNAcentral is "long non-coding RNA (SITA_LNC003348)". Lineage: Eukaryota; Viridiplantae; Streptophyta; Magnoliopsida; Poales; Poaceae. The record is from RNAcentral.